AUUGAACGCUGGCGGCAUGCUUUACACAUGCAAGUCGAACGGCAGCAUAGAGAGCUUGCUCUCUGAUGGCGAGUGGCGAACGGGUGAGUAAUACAUCGGAACGUGGUCCGUUUGUGGGGGACAACCAUCCGAAAGGAUGGCUAAGUACCGCAUAAGACCUGAGGGUGAAAGCCGGGGACGCAAGGCCUGGCGCGAACGGGGCGCCGAUGACUGAUUAGCUGGUUGGUGAGGUAAAAGGCUCACCAAGGCGGACGAUCAGUAGCCUGGUCUGAGAGGACGACCAGGCCACAC
Molecule: ribosomal RNA, 291 nt
Filed under: uncultured bacterium
Lineage: Bacteria
Description: partial 16S ribosomal RNA
Rfam family: Bacterial small subunit ribosomal RNA
Source: RNAcentral